RNAcentral lists this ribosomal RNA (1350 nucleotides) under Clostridioides difficile. RNAcentral describes it as "partial 23S ribosomal RNA". It matches the Rfam family "Bacterial large subunit ribosomal RNA", at positions 1346 to 2704 of the family's 2925-position model. Lineage: Bacteria; Bacillati; Bacillota; Clostridia; Peptostreptococcales; Peptostreptococcaceae. The record is from RNAcentral.
CAAGGUUUCCAGGGGAAGGUUCGUCCGCCCUGGGUUAGUCGGGACCUAAGCUGAGGCCGAAAGGCGUAGGUGAUGGACAACAGGUUGAUAUUCCUGUACUACCGAUAACCGUUUGAGAGAAGGGAUGACACAGUAGGAUAAGCUAAGCACACUGUUGGUUAUGUGUGCCCAAGCAUUGAGGCAGUCAAAGUAGGCAAAUCCGCUUUGAUAAUGCUGGGAUGUGAUGGGGAGCGAAAUUUAGUAGCGAAGUAGCUGAUUUCACACUGUCAAGAAAAGUCUCUAUCGAGGUUAAAGGUACCCGUACCGCAAACCGACACAGGUGGGUGAGGAGAGUAUCCUAAGGCCAGCGAGAGAACUGUUGUUAAGGAACUCGGCAAAAUGACCCCGUAACUUAGGGAUAAGGGGUGCCACCAUCAGGUGGCCGCAGAGAAUAGGCCCAAGCGACUGUUUACCAAAAACAUAGGUUUCUGCUAAGUCGCAAGACGAUGUAUAGGAGCUGACGCCUGCCCGGUGCUGGAAGGUUAAGGGGAUCUGUUAGAGCAAUCGAAGCAGUGAACUUAAGCCCCAGUAAACGGCGGCCGUAACUAUAACGGUCCUAAGGUAGCGAAAUUCCUUGUCGGGUAAGUUCCGACCCGCACGAAAGGCGUAACGAUUUGGGCACUGUCUCAACAACAGACUCGGUGAAAUUGUAAUUCCGGUGAAGAUGCCGGAUACCUGCGACAGGACGGAAAGACCCCAUGGAGCUUUACUGUAGCUUGACAUUGGGUCUUGGUACUACAUGUACAGGAUAGGUGGGAGGCUUUGAAACCAGGACGCCAGUUUUGGCGGAGCCAUCCUUGGGAUACCACCCUUGUAGUACUGGGACUCUAACCAUAGGCCAUGAAUCUGGUCUUGGGACACUGUCAGGUGGGCAGUUUGACUGGGGCGGUCGCCUCCCAAAAGGUAACGGAGGCGCUCAAAGGUUCUCUCAGUACGGUCGGAAAUCGUACGUAGAGUGUAAAGGCAAAAGAGAGCUUGAUUGCAAGACAUACAGGUCGAGCAAGGAUGAAAAUCGGACUUAGUGAUCCGGUGGUUCUGCGUGGAAGGGCCAUCGCUCAACGGAUAAAAGCUACCCUGGGGAUAACAGGCUUAUCUCCCCCAAGAGUCCACAUCGACGGGGAGGUUUGGCACCUCGAUGUCGGCUCAUCACAUCCUGGGGCUGUAGUAGGUCCCAAGGGUUGGGCUGUUCGCCCAUUAAAGUGGUACGCGAGCUGGGUUCAGAACGUCGUGAGACAGUUCGGUCCCUAUCCGUCGCAGGCGUAGGAAAUUUGAGAAGACCUGUCCUUAGUACGAGAGGACCGGGAUGGACGU